GGCCAGGAUAACCCUCUAGCCUGACCCCAGAAGCAGAACUCUUUCCCUGAACGCUGGAUUGCCUCCGUCAACCCUUGACAAAUACCAUGUCACUGCCUGGCGCAAAGCCACGGAUGGCUGGAGCCCUCCCCUCGGCAUGAUUAGUUAGAAGUUUGUGCCUUUAGCACCCAUCACGGGAGAAGAAAAAUCUCGAAUGUUGUUAAUAAACAGAGUCAGAGGAAAGCGCUGGAACGGGGCAGGUGUUAUUUAUCAAAGGUGAGAAAUAAGCUAAUCAGGAAAAUCCAUCGCAGGGUGACUGUUUCACGGGAGGGUGAGGGUGAGUGUGGGGACUCAGCUCAUUGCUGCUCCAGGAUCUGGAGGCGAUUAGAUGCCUCAUGCCGAAGACUAAGGAAAAGGGUUGACAGCGCAGAGAAAGAGGCUCAGGACUUGCUGGCCUUGGUCUCUGCACACCCAGCCAGCCACCCAGCCAGCCAGCAGCUCUCCCGUGGGGUCGAGGCUCUCCGGGGAAGCCAGUGUGACAGCACAUUCCUCUCUGUCUAGGAGCUGCUCCAGAGCUCCCAAGAGAUGUGGCCGACUUCCCUGGCAGGACGGGCCUCAGUUUCCCUGAGAUGGGCAGGUGGGAAGGUGAAGAUCCAAGUAUGAUUUACAGUCGCCAGGAGAUGCAAGCAACCAAAAUGUCCAUCGAAAGAGGAGGGGAUAAAGAAGACGUGGUGUAUGUACAGC
Bos taurus (domestic cattle) is the source of this 723-nucleotide long non-coding RNA. The record is from Ensembl. NCBI's taxonomy places the organism in Eukaryota, Metazoa, Chordata, Mammalia, Artiodactyla, Bovidae.